GACGAACGCUGGCGGCGUGCCUAAUACAUGCCAGUCGAGCGAAGUUUUUCUGGUGCUUGCACCGGAAAAACUUAGCGGCGAACGGGUGAGUAACACGUAAAGAACCUGCCUUAUAGACUGGGACAACUAUUGGAAACGAUAGCUGAUACCGGAUAACAGCAUUAACUGCAUGGUUGAUGUUUGAAAGUUGGUUUUGCUAACACUAUGAGAUGGCUUUGCGGUGCAUUAGCUAGUUGGUGGGGUAAAGGCCUACCAAGGCGACGAUGCAUAGCCGACCUGAGAGGGUGAUCGGCCACACUGGGACUGAGACACGGCCCAGACUCCUACGGGAGGCAGCAGUAGGGAAUCUUCCGCAAUGGGCGAAAGCCUGACGGAGCAACGCCGCGUGAGUGAAGAAGGAUUUCGGUUCGUAAAGCUCUGUUGUUAGGGAAGAAUGAUUGUGUAGUAACUAUACACAGUAGAGACGGUACCUAACCAGAAAGCCACGGCUAACUACGUG
This 499-nucleotide ribosomal RNA is filed under the name uncultured bacterium. RNAcentral's name for it is "partial 16S ribosomal RNA". It matches the Rfam family "Bacterial small subunit ribosomal RNA", at positions 28 to 507 of the family's 1533-position model. The record is from RNAcentral.